RNAcentral lists this ribosomal RNA (477 nucleotides) under Salmonella enterica subsp. enterica serovar Adjame. Its description in RNAcentral is "partial 23S ribosomal RNA". It matches the Rfam family "Bacterial large subunit ribosomal RNA", at positions 161 to 679 of the family's 2925-position model. The record is from RNAcentral. Lineage: Bacteria; Pseudomonadati; Pseudomonadota; Gammaproteobacteria; Enterobacterales; Enterobacteriaceae.
AAUCCAUAGGUUAAUGAGGCGAACCGGGGGAACUGAAACAUCUAAGUACCCCGAGGAAAAGAAAUCAACCGAGAUUCCCCCAGUAGCGGCGAGCGAACGGGGAGGAGCCCAGAGCCUGAAUCAGCAUGUGUGUUAGUGGAAGCGUCUGGAAAGGCGCGCGAUACAGGGUGACAGCCCCGUACACAAAAGCGCAUGUGCUGUGAGCUCGAUGAGUAGGGCGGGACACGUGGUAUCCUGUCUGAAUAUGGGGGGACCAUCCUCCAAGGCUAAAUACUCCUGACUGACCGAUAGUGAACCAGUACCGUGAGGGAAAGGCGAAAAGAACCCCGGCGAGGGGAGUGAAAAAGAACCUGAAACCGUGUACGUACAAGCAGUGGGAGCACCCUUCGGGGUGUGACUGCGUACCUUUUGUAUAAUGGGUCAGCGACUUAUAUUCUGUAGCAAGGUUAACCGUAUAGGGGAGCCGCAGGGAAACCG